Molecule: long non-coding RNA, 1216 nt
Organism: Engraulis encrasicolus (European anchovy)
Lineage: Eukaryota; Metazoa; Chordata; Actinopteri; Clupeiformes; Engraulidae
Exons: 4
Source: RefSeq, a predicted model, not a curated record
AGGAGAGCGUUGCUUCAGAUUUUUCUCAGAUCAGUUAACCUGGUCUGAGGCAGAGGAAAAGUGUGUUAAGUAUGGUGGCCAUCUUGCAUCCGUCCACAAUAAAGCUGAACAAACUACAGUGAACGAAAUAUCAACGUCUGAGAUCAAAUCUUGGAUUGGGGGCGUCGGAAACCAGAUGCCUGGUAAUACUUACAGUUGGACUGAUGGCACCACAAUUGACUUCAAGAAUUGGGCAAACUCUGAGCCAAACAAUAGCGGGGAUAAUGAACACUGCAUGGACAAUGACCACUCAAAAGGCGGAAAGUGGAAUGACGAUACUUGCCACAAGAAACUGCCAUAUGUUUGUGCCGUUUAGGCACUACGAGGAACAUGACUGCAAUUUGAAGCUUCAAUUUUUCUUUUUUUCCCUGGAAAUGACAGCUUGGAGCUGCAUUUCUUGCUUCAAGCUACAUAAAAUGCAUACAUAUAAAACAUGAUUUAAAAAAUGCAUAAGCGUGUCUAUUCACCAGUGGAGGGAGGGUUGCACAUGCAUGAUGAAUAAGAAAGACUGCACCGUGAAACAUGUAGUGUUACUUCUACACCCAGAAAGUCAAUUUAAACAUCUUCUUAAGUGCUUUUGGUCUAAGAGUACUCUGCAAGUGUUGAAUUAAGAAUGUAUUUUGUACUGUAUAGGGUUCAUAAUGGGACCAAACAUUCCCCUGUGUGGUCACCAUCAGCACUGGGGGCAGUUGUGGCCUAAAGGUUGGAACAUGGAAUUGUGAAGUGUUUACCUGACGUUAAGCUUUAUUCAAAAUGAAAGUGAGUUAAUUCUGAAUUAAAUGCUUCAUGUAAACGUUGCAGCUUACAAGCCAUAAUGAAGUCUUAGCAAUUGGUGAUGGUAUUGUAUAUCCAUCCUUUGAUUGAAUGUUUUUUCGGCAUCAGAGCAUGAAACUGCAAUCCAAAGCUGCGGUUCCCUUGAGCAAUGCACUUAACUCUACAUUUCGACUGUAACCAACAUCCUGUACCUAAAUAACCACCAGUUGCUUUGGAUGAAAGUGUCAGCCACAUACUUUUGUUAUUCACCACAUUGUGUGCGCUCCCUCACAUCACUGUGACUGGAUCCAACCCAGACCACCCAUUAGCUGCUGCUGCUACUACCAGACUGUAGACUGUCUCACCCUCUUGGCCCCCCAACCUAUGACUAUCGCCCAACUACUGUAAUCAAUAAAGGCAUGAU